AUACGUAGGGAGCGAGCGUUGUCCGGAAUUACUGGGUGUAAAGGGUGCGUAGGAGGGACUGCAAGUCAGAUGUGAAAUGCCGGGGCUCAACCCCGGAGCUGCAUUUGAAACUGUGGCUCUUGAGUGAGGUAGAGGUAAGCGGAAUUCCUAGUGUAGCGGUGAAAUGCGUAGAUAUUAGGAGGAACAUCGGUGGCGAAGGCGGCUUACUUGGCCCUUACGGACGCUGAGGCACGAAAGCGGGGGGAGCAAACAGGAUGAGAUACCCUGGUAGUCCACGCUGUAAACGAUGAUGACUAGGUGUGGGGGGACUGAACCCUUCCGUGCCGCAGUUAACACGAUAAGUCAUCCACCUGGGGAGUACGGCCGCAAGGUUGAAACUCAAAUGAAUUGACGGGG
This 396-nucleotide ribosomal RNA is filed under the name uncultured bacterium. RNAcentral's name for it is "partial 16S ribosomal RNA". It matches the Rfam family "Bacterial small subunit ribosomal RNA", at positions 523 to 918 of the family's 1533-position model. The record is from RNAcentral.